GGGGGGGGGGGGGGGGGGGGGGGGGGGGGGGGGGGGGGGGGGGUGAGGGGGGGUUGGGGCGGGAUUCAGCGGCGGACGGGUGGGGAAUGGCUAGGGGUGUGCCUGGUAGUGGGGGAGAGGGUCCGGAAACGGGCGCUAAUCCCGCAUACGUCCUGAGGGAGGAAGUGGGGGAUCUUCGGACCUCCCGCUAUCAGAUGAGCCUAGGUCGGAUUAGCUAGCUGGUGGGGUAAAGGCCUACCAAGGCGACGAUCCGUAACUGGUCUGAGAGGAUGAUCAGUCACACUGGAACUGAGAAACGGUCCAGACUCCUACGGGAGGCAGCAGUGGGGAAUAUUGGACAAUGGGCGAAAGCCUGAUCCAGCCAUGCCGCGUGUGUGAAGAAGGUCUUCGGAUUGUAAAGCACUUUAAGUUGGGAGGAAGGGCAGUAAGUUAAUACCUUGCUGUUUUGACGUUACCAACAGAAUAAGCACCGGCUAACUUCGUG
RNAcentral lists this ribosomal RNA (484 nucleotides) under uncultured bacterium. RNAcentral's name for it is "partial 16S ribosomal RNA". The stretch from base 56 to 484 matches the Rfam family "Bacterial small subunit ribosomal RNA", at positions 39 to 507 of the family's 1533-position model. The record is from RNAcentral.